Molecule: ribosomal RNA, 502 nt
Filed under: uncultured bacterium
Lineage: Bacteria
Description: bacterial SSU rRNA
Rfam family: Bacterial small subunit ribosomal RNA
Source: RNAcentral
AGAACGAACGCUGGCGGCGCGUUUAAGCAUGCAAGUCGAGCGGCAAGGGCCUUCGGGCCCCUAGAGCGGCGGACGGGUGAGUAACACGUGGACAAUCUGCCCCCCGGCCCGGGAUAGCCCAGGGAAACCUGGAUUAAUACCGGAUGAGACGGGACCCGCGAUGGCGGGACCCGGGAAAGGCGCUGCGGCGCCGCCGGGGGAUGAGUCUGCGUCCCAUUAGCUAGACGGCGGGGUAACGGCCCACCGUGGCGACGAUGGGUAGCCGGCCUGAGAGGGUGGACGGCCACAUUGGAACUGAGACACGGUCCAGACUCCUACGGGAGGCAGCAGCUAAGAAUCUUCCGCAAUGGGCGAAAGCCUGACGGAGCCGACGCCGCGUGAACGAAGAAGGCCGUGAGGUUGUAAAGUUCUUUUCGGGAGGGGGAACAACCGUGGCAGGGAAUGGCCGCGGGAUGACGUGAAUCCCGGAAUAAGCCCCGGCUAACUACGUGCCAGCCGCGGC